GAUGAACGCUGGCGGCGUGCCUAAUACAUGCAAGUCGAGCGAACGGACGAGAAGCUUGCUUCUCUGAUGUUAGCGGCGGACGGGUGAGUAACACGUGGAUAACCUACCUAUAAGACUGGGAUAACUUCGGGAAACCGGAGCUAAUACCGGAUAAUAUUUUGAACCGCAUGGUUCAAAAGUAAAAGACGGUCUUGCUGUCACUUAUAGAUGGAUCCGCGCUGCAUUAGCUAGUUGGUAAGGUAACGGCUUACCAAGGCAACGAUGCAUAGCCGACCUGAGAGGGUGAUCGGCCACACUGGAACUGAGACACGGUCCAGACUCCUACGGGGGGCAGCAGUAGGGAAUCUUCCGCAAUGGGCGAAAGCCUGACGGAGCAACGCCGCGUGAGUGAUGAAGGUCUUCGGAUCGUAAAACUCUGUUAUUAGGGAAGAACAUAUGUGUAAGUAACUGUGCACAUCUUGACGGUACCUAAUCAGAAAGCCACGGCUAACUACGUG
This 497-nucleotide ribosomal RNA is filed under the name uncultured bacterium. RNAcentral's name for it is "partial 16S ribosomal RNA". It matches the Rfam family "Bacterial small subunit ribosomal RNA", at positions 28 to 507 of the family's 1533-position model. The record is from RNAcentral.